CCUACGGGUGGCAGCAGUAGGGAAUAUUGCUCAAUGGGGGAAACCCUGAAGCAGCAACGCCGCGUGGAGGAUGAAGGUUUUCGGAUUGUAAACUCCUUUUGUUAGAGAAGAUAAUGACGGUAUCUAACGAAUAAGCACCGGCUAACUCCGUGCCAGCAGCCGCGGUAAUACGGAGGGUGCAAGCGUUACUCGGAAUCACUGGGCGUAAAGAGCGCGUAGGCGGGAUAGCAAGUCAGAUGUGAAAUCCUAUGGCUUAACCAUAGAACUGCAUUUGAAACUGUUAUUCUAGAGUAUGGGAGAGGUAGGUGGAAUUCUUGGUGUAGGGGUAAAAUCCGUAGAGAUCUGGAGGAACAUCAGUGGCGAAGGCGACUAUCUGGCACAUAACUGACGCUGAGGAGCGAAAGCGUGGGUAGCAAACAGGAUUAGAUACCCCUGUAGUC
This 440-nucleotide ribosomal RNA is filed under the name uncultured bacterium. RNAcentral describes it as "partial 16S ribosomal RNA". It matches the Rfam family "Bacterial small subunit ribosomal RNA", at positions 338 to 795 of the family's 1533-position model. The record is from RNAcentral.